AUACGGAGGAUCCGAGCGUUAUCCGGAUUUAUUGGGUUUAAAGGGUGCGCAGGCGGCCAUUUAAGUCAGCGGUUAAAUCGUGGGGCUCAACCCCAUUCUGCCGUUGAUACUGGGUGGCUUGAUUGCGGUCGAGGUUGGCGGAAUUCGUUGUGUAGCGGUGAAAUGCAUAGAUAUGACGAAGAACACCGAUUGCGUAGGCAGCUGACCAGACCGCAAAUGACGCUCAUGCACGAAAGUGCGGGGAUCGAACAGGAUUAGAUACCCUGGUAGUCCGCACAGUAAACGAUGAAUACUUGUUUUCGGCGAUAUAAUGUCGGAGGCAAAGCGAAAGCGAUAAGUAUUCCACCUGGGGAGUACGCCGGCAGCGGUGAAACUCAAAGGAAUUGACGGGG
RNAcentral lists this ribosomal RNA (392 nucleotides) under uncultured bacterium. Its description in RNAcentral is "partial 16S ribosomal RNA". It matches the Rfam family "Bacterial small subunit ribosomal RNA", at positions 523 to 918 of the family's 1533-position model. The record is from RNAcentral.